Molecule: ribosomal RNA, 255 nt
Filed under: Triticum aestivum (bread wheat)
Lineage: Eukaryota; Viridiplantae; Streptophyta; Magnoliopsida; Poales; Poaceae
Description: partial small subunit ribosomal RNA
Source: RNAcentral
AUGGAGAGCUCAGGGACGACUGCUCGCAGGAGAGCCGCUCAUUUAAAAAUCCUGCUCUUGCAUGGAGACGCUGAUCCUGAAGUACCAUACGAAACCAGUAUAUGGUACGCUGAGUUUCUGCGAACCUCAGGCUUUUCAGUGGAUUUUAGAACCUUCAACGGACUGCAGCAUUUUUGGACGUACCGUGAGAUGGAUUAUGUCAAGCAGUGGCUCCGCCCUAGGAUCGCAGUGCCCAGAAUCACAAUUAAGUACUAA